RNAcentral lists this unclassified non-coding RNA (367 nucleotides) under soil metagenome. Its description in RNAcentral is "partial contains 5.8S ribosomal RNA, internal transcribed spacer 2, and large subunit ribosomal RNA". The stretch from base 1 to 120 matches the Rfam family "5.8S ribosomal RNA", at positions 35 to 154 of the family's 154-position model. The record is from RNAcentral.
GAUGAAGAACGUAGCGAAAUGCGAUAAGUAAUGUGAAUUGCAGAAUUCAGUGAACCAUCGAAUCUUUGAACGCACAUUGCGCCCGGCAGUAAUCUGCCGGGCAUGCCUGUCCGAGCGUCAUUUCUGCCCUCGAGCGCGGUUAGCUUGCUAUCCGCUGCCCGGUGUUGGGGCGCUACGGUUCAGGGCCUCGUGCCCUGUCGUAGGCCCCGAAAUGAAGUGGCGGUCCCGCCGCGGCGCCCCCUGCGUAGUAGUCUUACAACUCGCAUCGGGACCCGGUGGAGGCCAGCCGUCAACCCAUCCUUCUAUGGUUUGACCUCGGAUCAGGUAGGGUUACCCGCUGAACUUAAGCAUAUCAAUAAGCGGAGGA